UGCAGUCGAACGAAGUCUUCGGACUUAGUGGCGGACGGGUGAGUAACGCGUGAGAAUCUGCCUUCAGGAUGGGGACAACAGUUGGAAACGACUGCUAAUACCCAAUAUGCCUACGGGUGAAACUUAUUUGGCCUGAAGAUGAGCUCGCGUCUGAUUAGCUAGUUGGUGGUGUAAUAGACUACCAAGGCGACGAUCAGUAGCUGGUCUGAGAGGAUGAGCAGCCACACUGGGACUGAAACACGGCCCAGACUCCUACGGGAGGCAGCAGUGGGGAAUUUUCCGCAAUGGGCGAAAGCCUGACGGAGCAAUACCGCGUGAGGGAGGAAGGUUUUUGGAUUGUAAACCUCUUUUCUCAGGGAAGAAUUUUGACGGUACCUGAGGAAUAAGCACCGGCUAACUCCGUGCCAGCAGCCGCGGUAAUACGGAGGGUGCAAGCGUUAUCCGGAAUUAUUGGGCGUAAAGAGUCCGUAGGUGGUCAUGCAAGUCUGCUGUCAAAGCCCACAGCUUAACUGUGGAUCGGCGGUGGAAACUGCAUGACUUGAGUACGGUAGGGGUAGAGGGAAUUCCCAGUGUAGCGGUGAAAUGCGUAGAUAUUGGGAAGAACACCGGUGGCGAAAGCGCUCUACUGGACCGUAACUGACACUGAGGGACGAAAGCUAAGGUAGCGAAAGGGAUUAGAUACCCCUGUAGUCUUAGCCGUAAACGAUGGAUACUAGGCGUUGUCUGUAUCGACCCGAGC
Molecule: ribosomal RNA, 739 nt
Filed under: cyanobacterium AUcy1
Lineage: Bacteria; Bacillati; Cyanobacteriota
Description: bacterial SSU rRNA
Rfam family: Bacterial small subunit ribosomal RNA
Source: RNAcentral